ACGGGUGAGUAAUGCUUAGGAAUCUGCCUAUUAGUGGGGGACAACAUCUCGAAAGGGAUGCUAAUACCGCAUACGUCCUACGGGAGAAAGCAGGGGACCUUCGGGCCUUGCGCUAAUAGAUGAGCCUAAGUCGGAUUAGCUAGUUGGUGGGGUAAAGGCCUACCAAGGCGACGAUCUGUAGCGGGUCUGAGAGGAUGAUCCGCCACACUGGGACUGAGACACGGCCCAGACUACUACGGGAGGCAGCAGUGGGGAAUAUUGGACAAUGGGGGGAACCCUGAUCCAGCCAUGCCGCGUGUGUGAAGAAGGCCUUUUGGUUAUAAAGCACUUUAAGCGAGGAGGAGGCUACCGAGAUUAAUACUCUUGGAUAGUGGACGUUACUCGCAGAAUAAGCACCGGCUAACUCUGUGCCAGCAGCCGCGGUAAUACAGAGGGUGCAAGCGUUAAUCGGAUUUACUGGGCGUAAAGCGCGCGUAGGUGGCCAAUUAAGUCAAAUGUGAAAUCCCCGAGCUUAACUUGGGAAUUGCAUUCGAUACUGGUUGGCUAGAGUAUGAGAGAGGAUGGUAGAAUUUCCAGGUGUAGCG
RNAcentral lists this ribosomal RNA (584 nucleotides) under uncultured bacterium. Its description in RNAcentral is "bacterial SSU rRNA". It matches the Rfam family "Bacterial small subunit ribosomal RNA", at positions 102 to 680 of the family's 1533-position model. The record is from RNAcentral.